RNAcentral lists this ribosomal RNA (550 nucleotides) under uncultured bacterium. Its description in RNAcentral is "bacterial SSU rRNA". It matches the Rfam family "Bacterial small subunit ribosomal RNA", at positions 355 to 896 of the family's 1533-position model. The record is from RNAcentral.
UAGGGAAUCUUCGGCAAUGGACGGAAGUCUGACCAAGCAACGCCGCGUGAGUGAAGAAGGUUUUCGGAUCGUAAAGCUCUGUUGUAAGAGAAGAACGAGUGUGAGAGUGGAAAGUUCACACUGUGACGGUAUCUUACCAGAAAGGGACGGCUAACUACGUGCCAGCAGCCGCGGUAAUACGUAGGUCCCGAGCGUUGUCCGGAUUUAUUGGGCGUAAAGCGAGCGCAGGCGGUUAGAUAAGUCUGAAGUUAAAGGCUGUGGCUUAACCAUAGUACGCUUUGGAAACUGUUUAACUUGAGUGCAAGAGGGGAGAGUGGAAUUCCAUGUGUAGCGGUGAAAUGCGUAGAUAUAUGGAGGAACACCGGUGGCGAAAGCGGCUCUCUGGUCUGUAACUGACGCUGAGGCUCGAAAGCGUGGGGAGCGAACAGGAUUAGAUACCCUGGUAGUCCACGCCGUAAACGAUGAGUGCUAGGUGUUGGAUCCUUUCCGGGAUUCAGUGCCGCAGCUAACGCAUUAAGCACUCCGCCUGGGGAGUACGACCGCAAGGUUG